Molecule: ribosomal RNA, 979 nt
Filed under: Eulimnogammarus cyaneus
Lineage: Eukaryota; Metazoa; Arthropoda; Malacostraca; Amphipoda; Eulimnogammaridae
Description: 16S ribosomal RNA
Rfam family: Archaeal large subunit ribosomal RNA (bases 605-929)
Source: RNAcentral
UAUUGGUAAAUAUUUAUAGAGAUAAAGAAAGUUUAAUUAUUGUACCUUUUGUAUCAGGGGAGUUUAAAAGAUAAUAUAAUUGUUAAUCGAGUAAUAUGGAACUUUUUAUUAAAGUAUUAGUUGAAUUUAAUAUUAUAAUUUUUUAUGAGGUGACAAAUGUACGGUGUAUUUGGUAUCUAUUUACUCUUUAAUGAAAAGGUUAAGUUUUUCAUUAUCUAUAUAAUUGUUAUUAUAUAAAGAAAACAAUGCUUUAAAUUAGCUAAGUUGUUAAAUUGUUUUAAAUAAUCUUUAAAGUUUUAGAUUUAAUAGAUUUUUAGGGUUAACUUUAGUAGUAAUGAUUUAGUUUAAUAAUGAAUUUAUUGAAUAUAAAGUGAAAAUAUAAAUUUACUCGGAGUAAAUUAGAAAGUUUAACAAAAACAUUUUUUUUUUGUUAAUAAAGUAUGGCCUGCCCAGUGAGUAUUAAACGGCUGCGGUAUUUUGACUGUGCUAAGGUAGCAUAAUCAUUUGCUUCUUAAUUGGUAGCUGGAAUGAACGGUUGAGCUGGUUUAAUAAGUGUGUAUAUUUAAAUAGAAAGUUAAAGUCAAGGUAAUAAUUCUUUGAUAUUUUAGGGGACGAUAAGACCCUAAAAGCUUAAUAAAUAUUAUAAUGGUUUUGUUUUUCAAGUUAGUUUGUUUUACUGGGGCGGUACUAGUAUUUUAACUAUUAGAUAGAUUAAGAUCCUUAAAAUAAAGAUGGAGCGUAAAAGUUACUUUAGGGAUAACAGUGCAAUAUUUUUGGAGAGAUCUUAUCAAUAAAUAUGCUUGCAACCUCGAUGUUGAAUUAAAAUUUCUACGUGAAGCAGAAGGUAUAGUAGAGGGUUUGUUCAACCUUUAAAUUUUUACAUGAUUUGAGUUCAAAUCGGUUUAAGCCAGAUUGGAUUUUAUCUCUAAAUAUUCUUUAAAUCUUUUUAGUACGAAAGGGUUGAUUGGUUUUUGUUAGC